RNAcentral lists this ribosomal RNA (426 nucleotides) under uncultured Rhodocyclaceae bacterium. RNAcentral describes it as "bacterial SSU rRNA". It matches the Rfam family "Bacterial small subunit ribosomal RNA", at positions 356 to 774 of the family's 1533-position model. Lineage: Bacteria; Pseudomonadati; Pseudomonadota; Betaproteobacteria; Rhodocyclales; Rhodocyclaceae. The record is from RNAcentral.
GGGGAAUUUUGGACAAUGGGGGCAACCCUGAUCCAGUCAUGCCGCGUGAGUGAAGAAGGCCUUCGGGUUGUAAAGCUCUUUCGGUCGGGAAGAAAACGCGCCGGCUCAUACCCUGUAUUGUUGCCGGUACCGGACUAAGAAGCACCGGAUAACUACGUUCCAGCAGCCGCGGUAAUACGUAGGGUGCGAGCGUUAAUCGGAAUUACUGGGCGUAAAGCGUGCGCAGGCGGUUUUGUAAGACAGGCGUGAAAUCCCCGGGCUCAACCUGGGAACUGCGCUUGUGACUGCAAGACUAGAGUACGGCAGAGGGGGGUGGAAUUCCACGUGUAGCAGUGAAAUGCGUAGAGAUGUGGAGGAACACCAAUGGCGAAGGCAGCCCCCUGCGUCGAUACUGACGCUCAUGCACGAAAGCGUGGGGAGCAAACA